AAGAGAAAUGGAGGACUAGGAUUUAGAGACCUUCACCUUUUCAAUCUGGCCAUGCUCGCAAGGCAAGCAUGGAGGCUGCUUCAAAAUCCCUCUUCACUCUGUGCACAAUUUCUCUCGGCAAAAUAUUACCCAAACAGUUCAAUCUUGGAGGUAGAAGGGAAAAAUGGCAUCUCGUACACUUGGCGAAGUAUCCUAAAAGGGGUGCAACUUCUGAAAAAAAUGAAUAAUAUGGAGGGUUGGUGA
RNAcentral lists this ribosomal RNA (243 nucleotides) under Triticum aestivum (bread wheat). RNAcentral describes it as "partial small subunit ribosomal RNA". Lineage: Eukaryota; Viridiplantae; Streptophyta; Magnoliopsida; Poales; Poaceae. The record is from RNAcentral.